GACGAACGCUGGCGGCGUGCUUAACACAUGCAAGUCGAGCGGUAAGGCUCCUUCGGGAGUACACGAGCGGCGAACGGGUGAGUAACACGUGAGCAAUCUGCCCUUCUCAUCGGAAUAACCAUUGGAAACGAUGGCUAAUGCCGAAUAUGACCUCGGAUCACAUGUUCUGAGGUGGAAAGCACCGGCGGAGAAGGAUGAGCUCGCGGCCUAUCAGCUUGUUGGUGAGGUAAUGGCUCACCAAGGCGAUGACGGGUAGCCGGCCUGAGAGGGUGACCGGCCACACUGGGACUGAGACACGGCCCAGACUCCUACGGGAGGCAGCAGUGGGGAAUAUUGGACAAUGGGCGAAAGCCUGAUCCAGCAACGCCGCGUGAGGGAUGACGGCCUUCGGGUUGUAAACCUCUUUCAGCAGGGACGAAGCGAAAGUGACGGUACCUGCAGAAGAGGGACCGGCCAACUACGUGCCAGCAGCCGCGGUAAUACGUAGGGUCCGAGCGUUGUCCGGAAUUAUUGGGCGUAAAGGGCUCGUAGGCGGUUUGUCACGUCGGGCGUGAAAACUCAGGGCUCAACCCUGAGCGUGCGUUCGAUACGGGCAGACUAGAGGUACGCAGGGGAGAACGGAAUUCCUGGUGUAGCGGUGGAAUGCGCAGAUAUCAGGAGGAACACCGGUGGCGAAGGCGGUUCUCUGGGCAUUACCUGACGCUGAGGAGCGAAAGCAUGGGGAGCGAACAGGAUUAGAUACCCUGGUAGUCCAUGCCGUAAACGUUGGGCGCUAGGUGUGGGGACCUUCCACGGUCUCCGUGCCGCAGCUAACGCAUUA
This 820-nucleotide ribosomal RNA is filed under the name uncultured Actinomycetes bacterium. Its description in RNAcentral is "bacterial SSU rRNA". It matches the Rfam family "Bacterial small subunit ribosomal RNA", at positions 28 to 862 of the family's 1533-position model. The record is from RNAcentral. Lineage: Bacteria; Bacillati; Actinomycetota; Actinomycetes.